This 162-nucleotide long non-coding RNA is filed under the name Ictidomys tridecemlineatus (thirteen-lined ground squirrel). RNAcentral describes it as "lncRNA (ENSSTOG00000032137.1)". The record is from RNAcentral. Lineage: Eukaryota; Metazoa; Chordata; Mammalia; Rodentia; Sciuridae.
CCAAAUCCUGUCUGACCUGGAUUGCACACCUCCAGGUCUCCUCCGCAGCGGCUGGAAAGCUUUCACAAACUGCAAAACACAUCCAAUUGUGGUCCUGCGUCCUGUGUUCCUGUGUUGGAGGUCACUGACUAAAGUCAGGAAGGGACGUGUCUGAGCCUCUGC